GCCUCAGCCUCCCAAAGUGCUGGGAUUACAGGUGUGAGCCACCGCGCCCGGCCGACUACUGCCCAUUCUUUCUGAGAGCUUCUACCUGUGAAGUUUCAUCUGUAUAACAAGAACAGCUUUGCCCCUUAUGUUUUUUUUUCCCUCUUAUAACUUGUCUUGCCAUCUUGCAAUCCCCCAUUCUUCUGUAACCUCAAGUAUAAAAGCAUCAAGCAUCUGGCCCUUUCUUUCAGUUUUCAUAUUUUGUAUGACUCCCACGCCCAUAUGCAUAUUAAUAAAUGUGUAUGCUUUUAUCCCAUUAAUCUGUUAUCUGCCUGUUUUAUAGACUCAAAGUAUCGAAUCUUUAGGAGAAAAAUUUUUGGUGUUGUGAUCAGGAUGUAAGUCAUUUUGUUCAUUCUAGAGCCAAUGAAUGGGAUCUUGGAACAACGGAUGAAAAGCCAGCAAAGAAAGAGAGACAUACCUCCUGCUACAGCUGGGAACCAAACAGGUGAGGAGAGGUGGGUACCCCCUAAAGAGGGGGUGCUGGGAGGGUCUGGGGAAAAAGAAGCAUGAAAUGCCACAGCUACCAUUCUCUCUGCUCCCACAAAAGACUGGGUGCUCAGGCUGGGGACAGUGGUUCACACCUGUAAUCCCAGCACUCUGGGAGGCCGAGGCAGGCAGAUCACCUGAGGUCAGGAGUUUGAGAGCAA
RNAcentral lists this long non-coding RNA (686 nucleotides) under Homo sapiens (human). RNAcentral's name for it is "HSALNT0249661". The record is from RNAcentral. Lineage: Eukaryota; Metazoa; Chordata; Mammalia; Primates; Hominidae.